UGGCCCACUAGCUGAACGACACGGCUUCUAGGAUUUCUUGGCCUUUCCCUCCUGCUGGCAUGAAUACUGCUAUCAUUAAGACUGUGAUUCACGCUGAAGAAAGAGGAAGACCUAGUGCUUGUCUAAGCAGGAAAAAGCUUCCCUCAGAAAUCCCUGAGGAAUCUGGAAGGUUGGCUUUCAGCUGCCCAGCCUUCACGGUAAAGAACAGCAGGGAACAUGGGUGAGAGCUGAGUGGAGGGAGAUGACCUGUAGAUUCCUCCGCGGGAUAAGAGACUGUACAGGAAAACAAAUACAAGUUUUUGGACAACAACAAAGAUGACCACCAAAAGAACUCAUUCCUCUGGAGCUGUUUUUCAUACUGCUGUAUCUUUGAAUUGAUCAAAUGCCGAGAGACUUGUUGCUUUCAAACCUUGUGGGAGCCAUGCACUGGCAGGGAGAGAUAGAAACCUUCUUUUAGCAGCUGAUUACCAG
This is a long non-coding RNA of Ailuropoda melanoleuca (giant panda), 471 nucleotides long. RefSeq lists it as uncharacterized. The transcript is spliced from 3 exons. The record is from RefSeq and is a predicted model, not a curated record. Lineage: Eukaryota; Metazoa; Chordata; Mammalia; Carnivora; Ursidae.